AUGGACAGCAAAUCAGCGAUCUCCCUUGCCAAGGACCUUGUGCUCCACGACAGCUCGAAGCAUAUGGAGCUCAUGUACCACUUCAUCAGGGAUUGCGUGGAGAAGAAGAAGAUCAAGCUCGAGUUCAGUUUGGCUGCCAUGACAGCAUUUCCCGUUCAGGUGCCAUGGCAAGCUUUUUUGGCUGCCAUGACAGCAUUUCCCGUUCAGGUGACAUGGCAAGCUUUUUCGGCUGCCAGGGCAGCGUUUUAG
This 249-nucleotide ribosomal RNA is filed under the name Triticum aestivum (bread wheat). RNAcentral's name for it is "partial small subunit ribosomal RNA". The record is from RNAcentral. Lineage: Eukaryota; Viridiplantae; Streptophyta; Magnoliopsida; Poales; Poaceae.